This 420-nucleotide long non-coding RNA is filed under the name Setaria viridis. RNAcentral describes it as "long non-coding RNA (SVIR_LNC002917)". Lineage: Eukaryota; Viridiplantae; Streptophyta; Magnoliopsida; Poales; Poaceae. The record is from RNAcentral.
UGUUUACGUUGACGCUCCGUUAGCAGAUUCCGACCGAUGAAGGAAUGAGAAAACACAGGAAAAAAACUUGCGUGUGAAAGUAGAUUAUAGGGAUCGAAAAUCUAUCUGUCCGAUGGGUAACCGUGAUGAAAAAUCCGGUAUAUAGUGCACGGGGUUUAGAAGUAUGCUUCGUCUAGAAAGGGGUUUAGUAGGUUGGAGCAAAACCCUAUGUCCGCCAAUAUCAAUAGCCGUAACCUUAUUCUUCAGCUGCUGUUUUUCACCUUAACCUAGGAGGACCUAAAAGGUAAAAGCCCUAUCCAGAUACUUGAUCUACUCUCUUUCAUCUGAUAUUGUGAUGUUAGUGAAUUUUAAUUUUCCUUUGGUCUUCCAGAUGUGGACUUUGACUAUGAUUUUCUGUAUCCCCAUAAUAGGAUUAUUAAU